This 3146-nucleotide long non-coding RNA is filed under the name Sus scrofa (pig). RNAcentral's name for it is "lncRNA (ENSSSCG00000054498.1)". The record is from RNAcentral. Lineage: Eukaryota; Metazoa; Chordata; Mammalia; Artiodactyla; Suidae.
CACAGAUCCAAAUAAAGAUAGGAGAAAUAACUUCUUUCACUUUUGGAGAGAGAUUUGACUCACCUCUGAAGUACCCUGAAAUGGAUUCUUACUGAAAAAAAAAUGCAGGCUUGAUGGAAAGUAUAAGCUUUUAUAUAUAAUGAAAAUGGAAGUGGGUAUCACUGUACAUGUGAAACGGAAAUCUAUGAAAACCACAGAGCAUUUUAAGGGGUUAAAGGUAAAGGCAAAUGGACUUAUUAUGUAUCAGUUAAAUAAACAAGGGAUUCUUGGACAAGAAUGAGAGGGUUUCUAGUCAACUUUUCAGAGAUGUAUUUAAAAUAUGGCAUUAGGCACAUGUGGUGUUUUGUUUUUGUUUUUGUUUUCUGGUUCCAUUCUAAACUGAACACAUAAGAGCAGAGACCCAGACUUAGAAACUGGGAGUUUUAGAUGCCUCAUAAAAUUGAAAACAAACAAACAAACAGACAGCCCCCCCCCCUCCCCAGGCUUCCAGGAAGACUUGUGGACCUUGGGAAACUAAAGGUUUAACCUCAAUCAUGAUAUGUGGAUUUAUUUUUCCCAAUUUCAGAAAAGUAUUUACUGCUCCAGACAUAUUUACCAUGGGGCCCUGGAAAUGAUGUUGUUGGGAGUGAGAUGCUCCUGAUCCUCUUUCUUGACAGUAGGUAUUUUGGGGUGUGUGGUUAACAGAAAUUAAUUUGCAGGUUCUUGUGGCUUGGUUGUUGAUGUCGUCUGGGAAAGGAAUGGGACAGAAUUCAUGGUCCCCCAGGAUCUCACAUGAGCUUGUCUGUGGUUUGCAUGCUGUGAUGUCAGUAGGAAUAUGCUUUGCUGGAGCCCAUGUGUGCAGAGGCUUGGCAUCCAUGGUGAUGAUGGUAAAGGGCACAGCCUUGGCAAUGGCUAUCUCAGUUCUCAGUUGGCUAUCUCUAUCUCAGUUCCACCUUGGGCAACUUAUAUCCCUUUCUAAGCCUCAGUUUAUUCAUCUGAAAAAUAGGCACACUCAUGCUUAUUAGGGUUGUCGUGAGGAUAAACUGAGACAAAAAUGUAAAGUAAGUCUUAUCCUAGAAGAUAAUAAGUGCCCAAUAGAUCUGAGUGAUGGUGACUAUAAACUGUCAUGAGAUGCUGACCUGUGAUGAGGUCAGGUCAGACCUAGGUCUUUGGUGACAUAAUUUCCCUCAGUGGAAUAUCAUAUCCAAGAGUGUAAUUCAAUAUCCCACUGGCCAUUGAGAGGCCAGGGUUGUGGAAGUGGUAUUUGGGCCUUUAUUAGCCAAUCCCAUAGCUGUGGUGAAAGCCAAGGGUUUGCUUACUUCCAGCUUGAGGUUUCACUCAAUAGAGAGUAUAUAAAUAAUUUUUUUCUUUUUUUGAAAGUGUCAUUUUGAUACCUAAUGACUAGCUCUAUGAGAAGAAUAUCAAUUCAGAAGCUGUUGUGAAUGGCCAGCAGCCAAAUUUCAUAUAACUGCCUUCUAGUUUAUUCUACAUACUAUAGUCCAAAUUUUAUUUGGAGCCUCUCUUUUUCAAGAGCUCACAAUGAGCUUCUUGCCCAUUAAAUCAAGUCCAAACUCCAUAUCCUCACAGAAAAUAACUCUCUGUGAUGCACCUUAAGAUACUCCUUCAGCACUCUUGCUUGCUCAUUCUUUAUUAUACUGUGGACUCUGCAUCUUAUAAGGGAAGAUACAUGGUACUUGGGCGACCAGGUUCCAAUCUGGUGUCCAUGGCCAACAUCACUAAGCCAUCUUCGCUUUGACUUCUUACCCAAUUGCAUCAUUGUUGUCCUCAAGACAGUACUCUGGGCAACCAUUCUUAAUUGAUGAAGCAUGGUUCAUGAAAUAAGGUUGAUUUACCACCCCUGACAUAGGUAGAAGGGCUUUUUUUUCCCUGAACAUUCUAGGUUUUCCUCAUACUUAUAUGCUUUUAAGUCAUGGCCUUUUUUACCCAGAAUUCCUUUGUCUCUUACCUAAGCCCCAUUCAUCAUUCAAGAUUUAAUGUAGCCCAUCAAAUUUCUACAGAGUAGCCAUAGCAUUAUAAAAAUCACAAAUAGUUGUGAUUUGAGAUCCUAUUAUCAAGUAGUUUUUCCUGGUGACACAAGCUCAGUUGACCUUUCCUUUUCCUGAUCUCAUAUAGCAUAUAUUAUCUGAAUAUAAUCACAUCAACCAUAUAUUUUAGCUUAUGAUUAAUGAUGUUUUGCAUGUCUGGAUUCUACAACUAGGAUCUUGAGAGUAGGAGCCAUGUGGUUUUGUAGAGUAGGCAGAUCUGAGUUCAAAUUCUGGCUUUGGGAAUUCCCGUCGUGACUCAGUGGUUAACAAAUCCGACGAAGAACCAUGAGGUUGCGGGUUCGAUCCCUGGUCUUGCUCAGUGGGUGAAGGAUCCAGCGUUGCUGUGAGCUGUGGUGUAGGUUGCAGAUGCAGCUCAGAUCCCACAUUGCUGUGGCUCUGGCAUAGGCCGGCAGCUACAGCUCCGAUUGGACCCCUAACCUGGGAACCUCCAUAUGCUGUAGGAGUGGCCCUAGCAAAGGCAAAAAGACAAAAAAAAAAAAAAAAAAAUUCUGGCUUUGCACUGCCUAGCAAAAUGAACUUAACCUCGAAUGUCACAUUCCUUAAAUGAAAAAUAGACAGGAUAAUAAAACCUACCUCCUGAAAUUUGUUGUAAGUGUUCAAUGCAUGUAAAUUCUUUAGCCUAGUUUCUGAGAAAUAAUGAGGAGAAAAUAUAAUGUAACUUUAUCUUCUGUGUAAAUCACAAUGAGAUGCAGAGAGCCUUGGAACAAAAGUCCCAAUUUCCAACCCAGCUUUGCCCAUUGAUUAGCUUGGAGUAGUCACUUCAGAAUCUUAUCUUGCUCAUCUACAAAAUGACCUUUGUGGCCCAUUCUUUUGUCUGCUCCCACUUUUGUUUGUGAUAUAAUAGGGAUACUGUAGGUGAAAGCAAAGGUGAUAUCCAAAAUAUUUAUUAAUCUGUAUAGUAUGGAGAUGGACCAGCUGGAACAGCUGUUGGACAGAUGCUGGCUAUAAUAAGUAAGAUGGCCACUCUGAGUAUCCACCCUUGGUGAAGACUUUCUGGAAGCACUACCCAAAUGUGAAGAAUUUCUAUUGUCAUUAAUCCCUGGGUAAAGUGAAGGAAAUAGUUUCCACAAAUCAUGGAUAGCUCAUAAUAUUUUGGGAACC